This 467-nucleotide ribosomal RNA is filed under the name uncultured bacterium. RNAcentral describes it as "bacterial SSU rRNA". It matches the Rfam family "Bacterial small subunit ribosomal RNA", at positions 28 to 507 of the family's 1533-position model. The record is from RNAcentral.
GACGAACGCUGGCGGCGUGCUUAACACAUGCAAGUCGAACGGACUUACAUUGAAGCCUAGCGAUAUGUAAGUUAGUGGCGGACGGGUGAGUAACGCGUGGGUAACCUGCCUUGUACUGGGGGACAACAGUUGGAAACGACUGCUAAUACCGCAUAAGCGCACAGCUUCGCAUGAAGCAGUGUGAAAAACUCCGGUGGUACAAGAUGGACCCGCGUCUGAUUAGCUGGUUGGUGAGGUAACGGCCCACCAAGGCGACGAUCAGUAGCCGGCCUGAGAGGGUGAACGGCCACAUUGGGACUGAGACACGGCCCAAACUCCUACGGGAGGCAGCAGUGGGGAAUAUUGCACAAUGGGGGAAACCCUGAUGCAGCAACGCCGCGUGAGUGAAGAAGUAUUUCGGUAUGUAAAGCUCUAUCAGCAGGAAGAAAAUGACGGUACCUGACUAAGAAGCCCCGGCUAACUACGUG